GCAGUGGUGGUUCAAUGGUAGGAUACUCACCUUCCUUGUAAGAGGCCUAGGUUCAAUUCCCAGCCAAUGCA
RNAcentral lists this transfer RNA (71 nucleotides) under Loxodonta africana (African savanna elephant). It matches the Rfam family "tRNA". From Rfam's summary of the family: Transfer RNA (tRNA) molecules are approximately 80 nucleotides in length. The record is from Rfam by way of RNAcentral. Lineage: Eukaryota; Metazoa; Chordata; Mammalia; Proboscidea; Elephantidae.